Molecule: long non-coding RNA, 352 nt
Filed under: Mytilus galloprovincialis (Mediterranean mussel)
Lineage: Eukaryota; Metazoa; Mollusca; Bivalvia; Mytilida; Mytilidae
Source: RNAcentral
ACAGUAAUUUUAUUCUAAAAAUAGAAAACAACAGAUGGCAAGAUAAUGCAGAAAAAAAGAAUUUAACGGAAGCAAAACAUAACUUUUUGCUUAUACAUUCCCCUCUAAAUGUGUUGUUCUGACCUCUGAUUAUUCCUGUUAUUUCAUAACUGAAGGUACCAUGUUUAUCAUUUUUAACUUAUGACUUGAAACUUAUGUGAUGUAAAAGUUUAAUUGAAUUCAACAAUGUUGAAAAUGCAAGAACUGUUUAACUUUACAUGUAACUGUCACAGAUAUCCCAAGGUUUGAAUUGGUACAAAACUUGAAAUUUUAUUAUUAGUGUUUAGCUGUUUUAUUUCGGAUAUGACAAUGU